GCUUUUUGGGACACCCACACGAUACUUUCAUUAUCUGGAAAAUUCAGAGAACUCCACUUGAAUCGACCAUAAAGUUUUUCAUUAUCUCUCGUCUCUGAUUACUUUGAAUCUUUCAUCAUUCUCUAUCGGAAUUCAUAUCCGGGAAAUCAAAUUUCGAUUCGAUUCUGUAGUUUUUCUUUUCUAUCUUGUGAUACUCGUAAAUCGGCUCCAGAACGAAGAAAUUAUCGAUCAUUAUGUUGUCUCUCUGAUUCAAUAACUUGGUUUUAUAAAUAAUUUAGAUUUGAUUUGAUGUUAUGAUGGAUUCGUAGAAAUUGUUUGGUAGGGUUUUUGGAUAGAGUCUUCGGUGAGGAAUAUCCAAUUUCAGAAAUCUUAGCUCGAUUCGAAGAUGGAAUCUGUUAUGUCGUAUGUGAAAUGGGAGUUUGGGAAUGAAAUGGUAGAUUAUGCAGUUCUGACCUAAUUAAACUGUAAAGCUAAUUCUUUGAUGAAAUAACUUCACAGAAUAUACAGCGUAAGCACGAUGAUCAUAUAUAUGUUUACUAUAUCUUAUGAUCAUAUGUUUACAGAAUAUACAGCGUAAGCACGAUGAUCAUAUGUGAACAUUACAUAUUUUGUUUUUUUAUUGGUGCUCAAAUUAUAAUACAAAUCAAACUAUGUGAUAUUUGCAGAGAUGCAAGAGGAAAGACGACAUUUAUAUGAUUCCUUAUGUUGAUCCUACAACUAGCUUGUCUUAAAAGAUUGAGGGUGAUCUCUGUAUUUUUUUCUGUAUCUAAGCAUGUGAUGAACAUUGGAAAGGAACGAUUGCUCUACUGGAAAUGUUACUUGUUUCAUUCUACUUUAACCUUGUAGAAUAUUUUUAUGUUGCAGCAAGACGAGACAUGCUUCAACCAAGUCUAAGGAGAGCUUCUUAUUGCAUCUUAGAUGAGACGGGAUCGAGGUUAAUCUAAGAGGGAACCAGAACACAUGAGGGUUGUUACAAAGACGGGAGCUUUUUUAGAAGAGUACUACAAAUAUGUAGGCAAUAUUGUGUGUUGUGCAUAAGAUAGAAAACAGAGUUGCUUUAUGUGUAAUAAGUAAUAACAUAUUAAUUAUUUAAUUUUAUAUCAAUAAUUUGAUUAUUUGGAAUCAUGUUUUGUAAAUCCUAGUGGAAUCACAUUUUUACAAAUUUUCGUACAUUUAAUAAUUAAUUAAUAUGAAUAUAAAAA
Long non-coding RNA from Eutrema salsugineum, 1202 nucleotides. RefSeq lists it as uncharacterized. NCBI's taxonomy places the organism in Eukaryota, Viridiplantae, Streptophyta, Magnoliopsida, Brassicales, Brassicaceae. The record is from RefSeq and is a predicted model, not a curated record. The transcript is spliced from 3 exons.